UGUGGUAAUUCUAGAGCUAAUACAUGCGUCAAAGCCGCGACUUUUGGGAAGCGGUGUAUUUAUUAGAUAAAAAACCAACGCGGUCCGCCGCUCCUUUGGUGAUUCAUAAUAACUUGUCGAAUCGCACGGCCUUGCGCCGGCGAUGCUUCAUUCAAAUAUCUGCCCUAUCAAGUUUAGAUGGUAGGAUAGAGGCCUACCAUGCUUUCAACGGGUAACGGGGAAUAAGGGUUCGAUUCCGGAGAGGGAGCCUGGAGAAACGGCUACCACAUCCAAGGAAGGCAGCAGGCGCGCAAAUUACCCAAUCCCGACACGGGGAGGUAGUGACAAUAAAUAACAAUACUGGGCUCUUUCGGGUCUAGUAAUUGGAAUGAGUACAAUUUAAAUCCCUUAACGAGGAACAAUUGGAGGGCAAGUCUGGUGCCACACCGCGGUAAUUCCAGCCUCCAAUAGCGUAUAU
RNAcentral lists this ribosomal RNA (457 nucleotides) under Phallus sp. M16. RNAcentral describes it as "SSU rRNA". It matches the Rfam family "Eukaryotic small subunit ribosomal RNA", at positions 148 to 604 of the family's 1831-position model. The record is from RNAcentral. Lineage: Eukaryota; Fungi; Basidiomycota; Agaricomycetes; Phallales; Phallaceae.